This is a non-coding RNA of Taeniopygia guttata (zebra finch), 1609 nucleotides long. The record is from RefSeq and is a predicted model, not a curated record. Lineage: Eukaryota; Metazoa; Chordata; Aves; Passeriformes; Estrildidae.
UUGCCGGAAGAAGCUUUUUGCUGACUGGUCGCUUGUGUGAUACCAACGCGCUUGCUCUGAAUGUGUUGGCCGCGGGGUCCGGCCAAUCAGCGAGCGAGGCGCCAAAUUUAAACCACACCGAGCGCUCGCUGGGGCGCUGCCGCCGGCCCUCAGCGAGCAUGCGCGCUGCCGCCGGCCCUCAGCGCCUCUCGGGCCGCCCUCCGGGCGCACCGUCCUUUAUGAGGGCUGGAGACAGUCCCUGCAUCUGGCUUCCACCCAGAGCGAGGUAGAGGGGCUCCCGGGAUGCCUACAGACUGAGAGAGUGAGCAGACUGUCUAUGCUGUGUGCCUCUGGAGGUCCAGUUGCCAGCAACUGGGAUUAGGACACAAAUCAGAGCAGCCAGUGGUUCCAGAAAAUGGGAAGACUUCAGCACAUGCAGGGAGGGGCCAGGGCUAGGUGGAAUGCAAGUGUGAGUCAUCUCUAGCGAAGGAGCCAGACGGGCUUUGGAACCCAGGACCAGAUACGGGAGAUAAGGUGCAGCAGGAUGCUUACUGGAGGUAAGCCAGCUUCCUGAGGAAAACGGGGUGGCUGCCCUAGAAGUACCUAUUGGAAGGCCACAUUCCUAGGUCAGCUAGUGGAGAGAUUUCUCUGUUCAUAUGCCUUGAUACCAGGAAAUCUAGCAGCUGGUUACUGGACAGACUGUUUAAGGCCAGGUACUGAAUGAUUUCAUAAUGUCUCUGUGGAUGUGGUAAUGAAUACACUGUACUAGUAGACUUACAAACUGACCUGCUGGAGGGAAGGAAGAGGAUUCAGCCACUCGUACCAUUCAUACAUGAGUGCUGUGUGUUUUCUGUGUUGAUCAGUGCUGCUGGACACAGGCAUUUUUGCCUUCUGGUAAUGCACUCCGAGCCUUGUUACUAGCUGAACUUGGGUGUUGGGAGGUGCAAAGACUAUAACCUGGUACCCCAAUGGCUGUUCUAUGUUUUUAUGUCAGGUGAGUAGCAAUUCUGUGUUGAACUAUGGUGCUAAAUACUGCUCUAUAAAUAACUAUUUGUAUUAGAGGAAAAGGGGUUGGCAGUCAGCCAAUCAGGGCCUUAGUUCUGCAUUAAUAAAAGGAUCUAUUGAUUCCGUGUUAAGACAAAGAUAUGGUGAUCCUCACUCUGCUAACAUGUCCUCUUCCAGGGAGGAAGGCAGAAUAUAAAGGUAUUCAGAAUUAAAAGCUCAUCAGCAGGAACAUUCCCAGUAGCCAUAAUGAAGUAGGGAGUCCACUGCAGAAAUGAUAAGCUGCCUAAGAGGGUAGAAAGCUACAGACAUAACCUAGUUAUAGGAUAUAGGAUAUAACCUAGCUUCACUGCCUGUCAAUAUUGUCAAGGCAAAGCACUGCAGGGGAAAGGGUACCAUGAAUUGUUUUAUUCUUGGAGCACUCUGAGUUUUGAGUAUGGGUUAUAACAUGUCAUUCUAUGUCCAUGGACCAAAAACAGGAUUGAGAAGCCAGGAACGGAAUCUGGUUUACUUAUUUUGCUCACAGAAAUUAAAGCUGCUGUUUUCUCUCUUGGUGAACAGUAAUGACUUUGCUAGAUGUAUAGAGAUUCCGUCUUUCCCACUUUCCCUAAGUGCUGUCAUUUGCUUC